GUUACAUUUCUACUCAAGUAUCGAUUUAAACAACUACAGUGCUGCAGUGGGACAGAACUAGGAGUUAAAGUACGGAGGGUCUUAACCAAACCCUGCCGCUGGUAAUUUCGUGAUAUUUCAAGCAUCACCCGAUUUCUCCAUGCCUCCGUGAAAUGAAGUUAUUGGGCUAGAAAAACACUACAUUCUUUUCUAGCUCUGACAUUUUGUGGUUGCAUGAAUGCGAGAUGACUGAACAUUGAACACAAAGGCUAAGCCAUGUGCUUUUAAGUCCCCUAAUCCUCGCUGAAUUCAUGUGGGUUGAACCUCCGAAUCAAUCACUGGGCGACCACUGUCCCUGUGGGCUCCCAUGCUGCCUUCGACACCAGCCUCUUCAGUUUGUUGUUCUCUUAGUCACGCUGUCCCAGACUAUUAGCUUAAGGAUUAAUCAUGAGGACUAGCAACUCAGGGGUGAAAGGCAGUUGAGUUCAUUUCUUUAGAACUAACCCCACUUCGGUAUUAAAUGCAUUUAAAUUUGUAGCCUCAAAUCUAAGCCAAGUUUUUUACUCACAUUUUCUUCCACCCUGGUCUUUCUUUGAUAAUGAAUUUUCACCUGUGUCUGAAGGAAAGAUUAAAAAAAAAAAAAAAGGAUGGGAGAGAUUGGUAUAUCAUAAUUAAAGGGCCCUAACUGAGGGUAGCCUAACAGUUAGGACCAAGGAAGACAGAGCAUGUAGAAGAUACAAAGUCAAGGUCAAGAGAAAGCUAUUUAGUGUCUAAAGAAACUCUGUUAUCUUCAUUGUUAUUGUUAAUUCAUCAGUAGAUGAGUUAUGCGUAUUGAGAAGUUGUUACAUACUAGGAACCUUACUUUUUGUGCAUUUUACAAACAUUAUUUCACCUAAUAGAAUAACCCAGUUAGAUAAGUCCAGUAUUAAUUCCUUCUUACAGAUAAAAACAAACAAACUAGAAUUUCAAAAGGUUGGUUAUUUUGUCCCAAAUUCCAAGGCCACCAUGAUUGCUAUGGUGGUUGCUUUUGAUUGCUAAGUGAGAAAUGAUUGCUAAAUGAGAAAGGUUUAGUAAUUGAUCUAAGAUAAUACCCCUCGUGAGUGGUAGAACCAGAGUUCAGCAUCUCGUUUACUCCAAAGGUCAAGAUCUUCCUGCUACAAUUGUACUUUGGAAGUAAAGUCAUUUAAAAUGUUUCCAAGUGACUGAGGGAUUUGUAACCAGUUACAAUUAAGGUGCCUCGCUAGACAUCAUUAGAAUGUUGGCAACCUGUUAUUAUGAGAAAAUAUUCAAAUAAACAAACUAGGGAAUGAAAUGAAAAAGGGAAGUAUUGCAACAAUGCAUACAAGAAAUAGGUACUAAUGUCCUCAAGGGAACAUAGAGGACAUUAAAAAUUCAAAAUUGUCCAAGGGAGAACCCAUGUGUAUAAAAUCUUUGACAAUUUAUGAGGAAAGAUGGUAAUUAAUAGUCAAUCUUGAAAUGAGGUAUUUAUUCUUUAAAUCUACUUAAUCCCCUUUUCUGACUCUCACUAAUUUAGUGAGUUUUAUGCAUCCCUUAGGUUUCUCUCCAGACCAAGACAUAUUGAUCAACCUGGCUGAAUAUUAGGAUUGUAUCUUCCAGAAUAUCACAGUCCCAGCACGCUCCAAGAGUUGGAAGAAUUACUGCCAGCAUAGCUUUACAAAUUGGAGGAAAAGAAAGAAAAAUAAUGUCUAGAGGCUCAGGACAAGCCAAUAUGAAACAGGUAUUUUGUUUAAUCCUGUAACCUCUUAUUUAUACAAUGAAGAUUUAAUUUUCAAAUAUUUAAAGUUGCUUCUGGCUUUUGUCUUUCACCUCUUUGUUUUACAUUGUAGAAUGUUCUGGUGGGUUGCCAUUACAAUAUUAACUUGUCUACCUAUUAAUUUAUUUAUGCAUGGUUUUAAACACAUCCCUUAAAAAAAUGUAGACACUGUCUGGCUUUGGGAAAACACAGCCCUCCUCUGUAUUUGGGUACUUUUUCUUUGCAAUGUCCAAAGAUUUUUCAGUUCUUCCCAGGCCUUUGAUUCCUCCAGUUUUCAAAGUGAUAAUUGUGUCCCACCUCUUACAAGACAGUCUGGAUUGCCAAUCUUCUAGGCCCACACAGUUCUGAAAAACUUUUGCAGUUGGAGUUGAAAUUAUUUUGUGUCUAAGAAGCCAAAGAAUUCCAUUUGUUCACACAUUGUGGAGCUGGACUGGGACAGCUGUUACGUUUCCUAACAAUAGUGUUACUGAGGGAUCUGCUACAGUAAAAUGACAAGCAAUUAUGUUUAUAAAAUCUGAAUCUGGAAAAAAAUGUUAUCCUAAACAUUAUUAAGCUUAAAUUUUGGGUUGCUGGAUUAAGAACAUUUUGGAAUAUGUAUACACAGAAAAUAUUCACUUAUUUUUACUUUCUCUGUGGGAGCCCAGACAGAAAGUUCUUUGUAUCAGGGCAUAAAUAUGUAACUUCUUCAGUGUCCACAGAGGACAACUGUGCCAGUCGCUCCUCCUUGAUCCCCAGCGCUCUCGUCAGAACACUCAGUGCUAAUUUGAUGCUCAGAACAGCGCCCUCCAAUGUGCGUCCCUUAGUGUUAAAAGGUGUUAAGUGAGGGUAGGAGAAACGGAAAGUGUCUGGUUAAAUAAAUCUAGAAGAAAAUCCGUAUGAAACAAAACGGAACGAGGUGUAGGACUUCUCAGAAUCUAGAAUACACUACCGUGCAAUCUGAAACCCCAAGAGAGGAAAAUAUGAUAGAGAAUUUUUCCAGUUUUUUUUUUUCCCCCCAGAGGAACAUGUCCUGAGAGAAUGUUACAGAAACUUUUCCCUCUUCAUUCACUGCAAAUCUGCUCAUUUUUAAGUCUCAGAUCCAGUGAAAUUUCCUUCAUGAGGCUCUUUUCAGUUCCCUCAGUGAAAGGUCAUCCCUUCCCCUUUGGUACGUUAUUACCAAGCUCUUCAGAUUCCUUGAAUUCUCAUUCCCUUUCAAUGCCCCAUCAUUAAUUUUUUUUCUUUUUUUUUUGUAUAGUGUCUUUGUUCUCCACUAAAGCAAAGCAUCUUGAGGUAAUGGAACAUCCAUUAUUCACUUGUUUGUGUGGCUGUGUGUGUUUAAUAACACCUAAUGUAGCACCCAGAACCUUCUAGAAACUCAGUAAAUGUUUGCUUAAAGACUGAAGCCACCCACCUACCUCAGAUGUUUGCUGUUGAUUUCAAGAAUUCCUCUGGAAAGGAAAAUACGUUUCUUUACCUAUUAGAGAAUGAGUGGAUUUGACUUUUAUUCUUUUUUUUUUUUUAAGAUUUUAUUU
This is a long non-coding RNA of Mustela erminea (ermine), 3264 nucleotides long. RefSeq lists it as uncharacterized. The transcript has 3 exons. The record is from RefSeq and is a predicted model, not a curated record. Lineage: Eukaryota; Metazoa; Chordata; Mammalia; Carnivora; Mustelidae.